UUCGGCUGGAUAUCACACAGGUGCUGCAUGGCUGUCGUCAGCUCGUGUCGUGAGAUGUUCGGUAAGUUCGGCAACGAGCGCAACCCACAUCCCCAGUUGCCAGCAGGUUAUGCUGGGCACUCUGUGGAAACUGCCCGUGAUAAGCGGGAGGAGGGUGUGGAUGACGUCAAGUCCUCAUGGCCCUUACGGGUUGGGCUACACACGUGCUACAAUGGUGGUGACAAUGGGUUAAUCCCCCAAAAGCCAUCUCAGUUCGGAUUGGGGUCUGCAACUCGACCCCAUGAAGUCGGAAUCGCUAGUAAUCGCGUAACAGCAUGACGCGGUGAAUACGUUCCCGGGCCUU
Molecule: ribosomal RNA, 343 nt
Filed under: uncultured Roseovarius sp.
Lineage: Bacteria; Pseudomonadati; Pseudomonadota; Alphaproteobacteria; Rhodobacterales; Roseobacteraceae
Description: bacterial SSU rRNA
Rfam family: Bacterial small subunit ribosomal RNA
Source: RNAcentral